CGCUGGCGGCGUGCCUAACACAUGCAAGUCGAGCGAUGAAACCCUUCGGGGUGAAUUAGCGGCGGACGGGUGAGUAACACGUGGGUAACCUGCCUUAUAGAGGGGGAUAGCCUUCCGAAAGGAAGAUUAAUACCGCAUGAAAUGUUUUUAUCGCAUGGUAGAAACAUCAAAGGAGUAAUCCGCUAUAAGAUGGACCCGCGGCGCAUUAGCUAGUUGGUGAGGUAACGGCCCACCAAGGCGACGAUGCGUAGCCGACCUGAGAGGGUGAUCGGCCACAUUGGAACUGAGACACGGUCCAGACUCCUACGGGAGGCAGCAGUGGGGAAUAUUGCGCAAUGGGGGAAACCCUGACGCAGCAACGCCGCGUGAAUGAAGAAGGCCUUAGGGUUGUAAAGUUCUGUUUUCUGGGACGAUAAUGACGGUACCAGAGGAGGAAGCCACGGCUAACUACGUGCCAGCCGCCGC
Molecule: ribosomal RNA, 465 nt
Filed under: uncultured bacterium
Lineage: Bacteria
Description: bacterial SSU rRNA
Rfam family: Bacterial small subunit ribosomal RNA
Source: RNAcentral